GACGAACGCUGGCGGCGUGCUUAACACAUGCAAGUGGAGCGACGAACCAGGGCUUGCCCUGGGGCAGAGCCGCGAACGGGUGAGUAACACGUGGGUAACGUGCCCCGAUGACUGGGACAACCCGGGGAAACCCGGGCUAAUACCGGAUGUGCCCCCUCACAUCAGUGAGGUGUGUAAAGGAAGCUUCGGCCUCCGCAUCGGGAUCGGCCCGCGGCCCAUUAGCUUGUUGGUGAGGUAACGGCUCACCAAGGCUGCGAUGGGUAGCUGGUCUGAGAGGACGAUCAGCCACACUGGGACUGAGACACGGCCCAGACUCCUACGGGAGGCAGCAGUGGGGAAUCUUGCGCAAUGCGCGAAAGCGUGACGCAGCAACGCCGCGUGGGGGAAGACGGCCUUCGGGUUGUAAACCCCCUUCAGUCGGGACGAAGGUCGGGCGGUUAACAGCCGUUCCGGCUGACGGUACCUUCACAAGAAGCCCCGGCUAACUACGUG
RNAcentral lists this ribosomal RNA (492 nucleotides) under uncultured bacterium. Its description in RNAcentral is "partial 16S ribosomal RNA". It matches the Rfam family "Bacterial small subunit ribosomal RNA", at positions 28 to 507 of the family's 1533-position model. The record is from RNAcentral.